Molecule: ribosomal RNA, 1286 nt
Filed under: metagenome
Description: bacterial SSU rRNA
Rfam family: Bacterial small subunit ribosomal RNA
Source: RNAcentral
AGCUAGUUGGUGGGGUAAGAGCUCACCAAGGCGACGAUCUGUAGCGGGUCUGAGAGGAUGAUCCGCCACACUGGAACUGAGACACGGUCCAGACUCCUACGGGAGGCAGCAGUGGGGAAUUUUGGACAAUGGGGGCAACCCUGAUCCAGCCAUGCCGCGUGAGGGAAGAAGGCCUUCGGGUUGUAAAGCUCUUUCGGCCGGGAAGAAAUCGUAUCAGCGAAUACCUGGUGCGGAUGACGGUACCGGCAUAAGAAGCACCGGCUAACUACGUGCCGGCAGCCGCGGUAAUACGUAGGGUGCGAGCGUUAAUCGGAAUUACUGGGCGUAAAGCGUGCGCAGGCGGUUUUGUAAGACAGGCGUGAAAUCCCCGGGCUCAACCUGGGAACUGCGUUUGUGACUGCAAGGCUAGAGUACGGCAGAGGGGGGUGGAAUUCCACGUGUAGCAGUGAAAUGCGUAGAGAUGUGGAGGAACACCAAUGGCGAAGGCAGCCCCCUGGGUCGAUACUGACGCUCAUGCACGAAAGCGUGGGUAGCAAACAGGAUUAGAUACCCUGGUAGUCCACGCCCUAAACGAUGUCAACUAGGUGUUGGGAGGGUAAAACCUUUUAGUACCGGAGCUAACGCGUGAAGUUGACCGCCUGGGGAGUACGGCCGCAAGGUUAAAACUCAAAGGAAUUGACGGGGACCCGCACAAGCGGUGGAUGAUGUGGAUUAAUUCGAUGCAACGCGAAAAACCUUACCUACCCUUGACAUGUCAGGAACUUUCCAGAGAUGGAUUGGUGCUCGAAAGAGAACCUGAACACAGGUGCUGCAUGGCUGUCGUCAGCUCGUGUCGUGAGAUGUUGGGUUAAGUCCCGCAACGAGCGCAACCCUUGUCGUUAAUUGCCAUCAUUUAGUUGGGCACUUUAACGAGACUGCCGGUGACAAACCGGAGGAAGGUGGGGAUGACGUCAAGUCCUCAUGGCCCUUAUGGGUAGGGCUUCACACGUCAUGCAAUGGUCGGUACAAAGGGUCGCCAAGCCGCGAGGUGGAGCUAAUCCCAGAAAGCCGAUCGUAGUCCGGAUUGCAGGCUGCAACUCGCCUGCAUGAAGUCGGAAUCGCUAGUAAUCGUGGAUCAGCAUGUCACGGUGAAUACGUUCCCGGGUCUUGUACACACCGCCCGUCACACCAUGGGAGCGGGUUCCGCCAGAAGUAGGUAGCCUAACCGCAAGGAGGGCGCUUACCACGGCGGGGUUCGUGACUGGGGUGAAGUCGAAACAAGGUAGCCGUAGGGGAACCUGCGGCUG